Long non-coding RNA from Vidua chalybeata, 244 nucleotides. RefSeq lists it as uncharacterized. The record is from RefSeq and is a predicted model, not a curated record. NCBI's taxonomy places the organism in Eukaryota, Metazoa, Chordata, Aves, Passeriformes, Viduidae. The transcript has 3 exons.
CAGGUUGGAAAGGACCCAUAAGGAGUACUCCCAGUUCUGGGAACCCCAGCACAAGGCAGACAUGGACCUGGUAAAACAGGUGGUAAGACACUAGAAAAGACUGUCCAGAGAAACUGAGGAUGCCCCAUCCCUGGAAGUGCUCAAGACCAAGUUGGAUGGGGCUUUGAGCAACUCAGUCUAGUGAAAGCAAACAUGUUUGCAAGACUCUGAAUUCAGGACAAAGAAGUGAGAAAUAAAGAUUAAC